CAAAGAUUAAGCAUGGCAUGU
RNAcentral lists this unclassified non-coding RNA (21 nucleotides) under Acacia pickardii. RNAcentral's name for it is "partial small subunit rRNA". The record is from RNAcentral. Lineage: Eukaryota; Viridiplantae; Streptophyta; Magnoliopsida; Fabales; Fabaceae.